GGGCAGUGAUGAACUAGCUCCAUGGCUGACCUUUCUAACAGUGGAGGCCUAUACACUUGAUCUGAGCUCA
RNAcentral lists this small nucleolar RNA (70 nucleotides) under Erinaceus europaeus (western European hedgehog). RNAcentral's name for it is "Small nucleolar RNA U2-30 (ENSEEUG00000017464.1)". The record is from RNAcentral. Lineage: Eukaryota; Metazoa; Chordata; Mammalia; Eulipotyphla; Erinaceidae.